Pieris brassicae (large cabbage white) is the source of this 2623-nucleotide long non-coding RNA. RefSeq lists it as uncharacterized. NCBI's taxonomy places the organism in Eukaryota, Metazoa, Arthropoda, Insecta, Lepidoptera, Pieridae. The transcript is spliced from 3 exons. The record is from RefSeq and is a predicted model, not a curated record.
UUUAUUACUGUAGGAUAGGAUAUUGUAUGUAUUUUUGUACAUAAAUAUAUAUAAAAAAACGAUAAUUUACUGGAGAUGUGGUUAAAAAUUGGUGCAUAAUUUACUCAAAGAUUUCUUUUUGUAUAUAUAACGUAAAAGUUUGUAGAAGAUAUUAAUUACUUUUAGCUGAGAUUUCCUAUAGUACAACUCGUAAUAUCAUUACUGUGAAAUUCAUAAUAUUUUUUAAUUUAUUAAUUAUUGGCACAUUCGCAUUCAAUUUCAUGAUGGGACCUUUAUGAAGAAAACGUCACGACAUUAAUUAAAAAAACUGCUGGAGCCCACGAACAUAGGCUCCACCAUCACGUGAAUGUCAAUUCAACUUCAUGGUACCACGGGCCUAGUGAGAAGAUUGGAAAGGACAAAAUUAGUGAAUUAGUGUUAGUGAACGUUAGUCUUAAGUGAAAAACUGUGAUCAAACGGGCAGGAGGAUCACCUGAUGUUAAGUAUGACACACACAUGGACACUCUCAAUGCGGUCUGAUGGUCUCUGAUGAAGAAUUGGUAUGAUCUUUUUUUGAAGGACCCUGAGUCGAAUUGGUUCGUUUUUUUAUGUUACUGGAGGCAAACCGACAGGAGGCUAUGAGAUAUUAAAUGAUACCAGCGCCGAUGGAUAUCACAUUGCCAGAAGACUCGCAACUCUAGUAAGGGAGAAACCUUAAAAAAGAAAGAUGUCGGGUAGACAAGACGUACAUAACCAAAUCGUAUAAAAAACAUUAUAUUAUUAUAAAUACAUAAACAAUAAACUAAAAACUAAUACAUGAAUGGCGAUGCAAUACAAAAGAAUAAGAAAUACAAGAAUUACAAAAGCCACGAUUGAGAUAUAGAUAUGGUUAAGAAACGUUUACGUAGAAGAGUAUUAAAAGAUGUUGCCCCAAGAGUUAGCUAAUCGUAUGGAACCGGGCAGCCUAUGGCGGAGAUCUCAGGAGAAGGAUGAGCUGUGAGAUGGAAUUUUCAAUAAACAUCUAUUAGAGGAGCGUAACAUAGUUAUAAGGAACUUGAAAAUUUCAAUUCAUUUUUAAGAUAAAGAAAAGAGUUUUAGAAUUGAGUAUAGAUGUUGAAGAUGAACGUCACGUUUGAGUCGUAGGUACACGAGGUGCCUGCAAAAUUACCUUUACCUUUGAAUUUAGUAAAAUUUUGAACACGCCUUUAUAUUCGUUAAAAAGGUUUUGAUAUUAUUUCUGAGAAUGCUUGAAACCGCAUCACAUGUUACGAAAUGCCAAAAUUGCUAACCCUUCAACAUAUGGCAUCGCAAAAUGUUUGCUAGUUUCAUAUGGAUAUGACUACGACUGGGUUCAAAUUCUGCAAUAUUGUAAAAAACGCGUUUCAAUCCGUACAAGUGUAUUAUAUAUUGUGUAUUGACCGUUUCUAAUAAGGCACAGCGUUUAUGUGUCAUCAUUGGUCCAGGCAUUUCAGUAGUUCUUCUGGAAUAGUUUUCAGAACUUUAAUAACGGAAUAAUUUUGUCAUAGAUAUAAUCUACAAUUUGUAUAAAGUGUGGAGUAUUCUGAAGAGUUUGAUUUCUUCUGCUUGGUUUUAAUACCUUACAAGCCGUAUUAACUUAAAAUUUCAUCCUUUACAAAAUGUUACCUUGUUGCCUGGAAGUUAUCCACGAUCCGCUUCACAAUAUUUUUUUGUUGUGAACUAGAGAAAUGUGGUAUCGACUCCCGGUUCGGAUCUCUCUGGGAUAGACCUCCAAUUGUUUAAAAAAGAGUAAGACCGGAAACGCACGCAGAGGAAAGUGACAUAAAUAAUUUUAGCAAUGAUGAAAUUUAAAAGUUUGUGUCCCGAAAAAGUAUUGAUGAUAAAGCGUUAUAUGCUUAUAUAAAAUAUCUGCAAAAAAAUCAUAUGCGUGAAAUGAAACGGUAAAUAGGUCAAAAUGAAAUUGAGUACAAAAUUCACUCUUCACUAUGUUUUUCACUUUUAUCUAUGGUGAUUAUAAAUUAAGGCUGGAUAUUGGCCAGUUACGCCACAGAAGAGAGCUUGCUUUGUCAGAGUACUUAUUUAGGAUACUUACGGGUCGGGUUCAUAAUCUGGAUAUAAUGAAGAAACUGGGUCUACGAGUCUACCAAGCAAGAACCUGAGGCGUAGGUCUUAACUUUUGAAUGUACCUCGCACACACUCCAACUUGGUUAUUUAAGCGCCACUCACGUGAGCAAUAUAUAUAAUAAAUAAAAUUUCUAUCGACCUAUUUGUUUGUACACUUGCCGAGUUUUCAAGAGUUGCUUUGUAAUAUUAGGUAUAUUACUUAUAAGGUAUACUAUUAUUAGUUAUAAGAUCUAUAUAUAUAUAUAUAUUGUAAGAUUAUCUAUGUAGGAACUAUUGUGCAGUUCUAUCGCAUUAGUAGUAAUUGUUAUAAAUGUAGAUGACAUAUCCAUAUUAUUCUGUCAUUUGUCAACAAAACAGGUGACAAUUUUGUUUAACAAUAGCUUUGUUACGAGUUUCUUGCAAUUAGAUAAUUGAUUUUAGUUAUAAAAAUAACUCUGGAGUAUAUGUAAAUCGAAAGACAAUGGCGUAACUUAAGUCUAAUAAAGUAUUCAACAGCCGAUUUGCCGAUUAAAUUAGUAUAAUUCCUUAAUGGGACAUUUUA